This 629-nucleotide ribosomal RNA is filed under the name uncultured bacterium. RNAcentral's name for it is "bacterial SSU rRNA". The stretch from base 1 to 544 matches the Rfam family "Bacterial small subunit ribosomal RNA", at positions 338 to 873 of the family's 1533-position model. The record is from RNAcentral.
CCUACGGGAGGCAGCAGUGGGGAAUUUUGGACAAUGGGCGCAAGCCUGAUCCAGCAAUGCCGCGUGAGUGAAGAAGGCCUUCGGGUUGUAAAGCUCUUUUGUCAGGGAAGAAACGGUAGGGGCUAAUAUCCUUUACUAAUGACGGUACCUGAAGAAUAAGCACCGGCUAACUACGUGCCAGCAGCCGCGGUAAUACGUAGGGUGCAAGCGUUAAUCGGAAUUACUGGGCGUAAAGCGUGCGCAGGCGGUUUUGUAAGUCUGUCGUGAAAGCCCCGGGCUCAACCUGGGAAUUGCGAUGGAGACUGCAAGGCUUGAAUCUGGCAGAGGGGGGUUAGAAUUCCACGUGUAGCAGUGAAAUGCGUAGAGAUGUGGAGGAACACCGGAUGGCGAAGGCAGCCCCCUGGGUCAAGAUUGACGCUCAUGCACGAAAGCGUGGGGAGCAAACAGGAUUAGAUACCCUGGUAGUCCACGCCCUAAACGGAUGUCUACUAGUUGUCGGUUUUAACUUAACGUUGGUAACGNAGCUACGCGUGAGUAGACCGCCGUCGGGUAGGUACGGUACGCGAGAAGUUAAACGUUAACGAAGUAGUAGACGNGUAGAGAGCGACGACGACGACGAGGAGGAGGAG